UGAAAUUGAGCGAUUCAUAUUGUACGUCAAAUAUAUUGCGUAGUUAUCUUCUAUCUCGUAGAGAUAGAAAGUAUAAAAAUUUCCAAUCCAGGGAAACGAUUAAGAUGAUAUAUCUGACGUACGGAAUGUCUACAAAUCGUCGUAGAAAGUGGACUGCACGCGACGCGGUUAGAAAUCUCUUUGGAAUUUCUCCAUCGCUGUCUCGGGCGCAAAAACGGAUCACUCUCUAAAAACUUCUCUUCUCGAUGAGAACAGUUUCCUCGGGAUAUUAAAUUUAUCUCGUGAACGAAACGAAAUCUUACUUCUGAGAAAGAAAUAAAGAUUGUCUAUAAGUCUGUCAUAGUAUAGAUCGCUCGAUUAUAGAUUACAACAUUCUGAUAUUUUUAAGUUUUUUAUUUAAAUAUUUAACACAAUUGGAUAAAUUAUCUAUUUAUAAAAAGAAUAACAUUUAUUAUCGACGGAUGGUAAUAAGAAGAUUUCGAUAGAAUAAUAGAAUAAUAUAAAUUACUAAAUAACAAAAAAUAACUAGCAAUGGAACUAGAUAAAAUAAUUUUAAUCGUAAAUGAUAAGAAUAAUUAGGCAAAAUAUCUAGAAAUGAAUACAGACGACAAUAAGAAUUUUAAUCGCGAUAUUAAAAAUAUCAAGAAUAAAUAGGCAAAAAUAACUAUAUAUAAUAAAACUAGAACAAGUCGUUAUAAUAUCAAACGUCUCAGUACCCGUCCAUCCAAGUAAUAUCUCGAAUGUUUCAUUUCUCUCGGAACGAUAAUAAAGAGUAGUAGUAAUCUCGCGGAGGAGGCUCGUGAUACUCGACUUCAUUCAUCGAUUCCAACGUAUAUACGUACACAAUUUUCCCUUUCCUAUACUAUUCGUUGCCUCCUUGUGGCACGAAUUCGGCACACACGAAGACACACAAACCUCGCCAGACAUCCGAACAAUUUCCUUUUCUUCUUCGAGCGUGGCGCCGCCUUUGUGAUCCUGCAGAACGUUAUGACACCAUUGCCACAUUUCGAAGAUUUCUCAGUAAUUUGCAUUUCAAUCUCCAAGAUAAUGCACAUGGGACUUCGAUUCAAAACGUAUCUUUUCUUUUCUUGCUUAUUUUUCAACGUAUAUACCGAGUUAAUAAACGAUUACACAUCUAAUUUAGAUCUUUAAUAUUUUCCAGUUAAAGGCUGAAAAACUAUUAAUCAGAACGAAACUCGAAAAUAUUUCAUAUUAAACAAUUUCAUAUUAUUGUAACACGACGAUACUUGCUACAAAAGCUUACAAUUCUUUCAUUAUGAGAAAUAGUAAACGUGUAAGAAGAACAGUGAAAUCGAAGAUCUAAGUGAGACAAAGCCGCAUAUUUUUUCAUGCUUAACCAAAUUAAUACGACUUCCUCGAGUAUUCAUCAAACAUCUCGCACCAAUUGAAAUUUUCUCAGACAGUGUUCGAAUACAUUUCCACGAGAAGAAGAUAUUUCCAAGCCUUCGUUUUCAUCUAAAGAAUUAAAGACGAUGUUUCCAACGUGUCGGAAGAGUAUCUUUCACGCAACGUUCCUCUCUCUCUUCUUCUGCAUAUUGGUGCAUUAGAGCGUGCAUGCACGAUGAUAUUAAGAUGGUAGCGUAAUUAACGAAAUAUUGUUCUCUCUGGUUCGAAACAGAGAUAUCUCGAUAUUUCGAUAUUUUAAUUUUCCAGGUGACCAUUUUUGUGCUUUGAAUUCACUCUCGGUGGCGACAAAUGACAAAAUUUCAUUGUUUCUGAAAUAAAUUCAACGAUACGUGUUUUUAAGAAGAAUCAUAUGAUUGCAAAGAGAAAAAUUACAAAAAUUAAUAUUUUUAUUAGAUUCGAAUUCGGUGUACCUUUAUCUUUAAGAAACCUUUCCAUUCUCUGUGCAGUCAUUUUUUCAUUCAAAAUAUUCAAAUACUUUUUAAAAUUAAUAUUAACUUCAAGCAUAAUUACUUUUACAAUAUCCUAACUUUCAUCUUAAUUGUGUAUAACAUUUUUGAAUAAAUUUCAUAAAUUGAUAGUUCUAGUUGCAUACAAUUAUGAAUUAAUUUCAUAAAACAUGGAAAGUAUUAUUUUGUUGCACACUGUACAAUCUUUGAUUUCUUAUUUAUAGUUCAAUCACGUGUACAAUUUUUCAAAUAUUCUUCUCCAUGUGGAUAUAAAUAUCUGAUUUUCUUUUUCUCUUUCUUUUCAUUUUUUCGUUUUUUGCAGCUUUUCUAUAAAAGCAUCCAAUAUCACAAGCAGUUCUUUAUAAUUAAAGCAGUCCUUUAUAAUUUUUCAGUAAUAUCCAGGGAAAAUUCAGGGACGGUGGAAACGUUUGUUUGCUGUUUAAUCCUUUGGAAUAGGAAUAAUUCAAGCUGAAGCACUCUCGAGGAAAAAAGAGCUGUGAAUUUGGAAAAAAUGUAACGUGACACACGUUAGAGGAGUAUUAUCUUCAGGUAUAUCAUAAUAACGUGCAAUUUGUAAAAUAAAUUAACGAAUUCUCUUUUAAAUAUUUGUAAUUAUUUAUUUAUAGCGAAAGAGUGAAAUUUAAAAAUCUCUAGUAGUUCGAUUCAUUAAUUAUUAUUGAAAAUUCUUGGUCGAUUGUCGAAGAGAAAAAAUUCUAGAAUUUUGAUUUAAUCAUUUGAUUCGGCUGGCUUAACCGACUUAAAGGUAAACGAUAACGAAAAUUAGACAAGUUUGGAUGAUAAAGAUUUAUCUCCUGAUCGACUUAUCCCAAUCUAAUUACGAUAACGAAAAUUACAUAAGUUUGGACUAGGACUAUGGAUUGCUCCAGAUUCAUAUCCAAAAUUUUAACACAAACUUUCCAUAGAAAAACUUCAAAACGCAAUUUCCAAAUUUAAUUUUAAAAAAAAAUUCACUCUCACUUCCCUUACAUUCUGCUCGAAUUAAAAUCUCGAAGAUUUCUAAUCGUUUUCCAUUCCAGAUUGAACGAUCGAAUCUCUCGGCCUCUCGAAUUCUUUUAUUCAAAAAUGCUUUUCGCCAAAGUAAGAACGGAGAGGAAGGAUUACCGAAUAAGGAUAAAAAUCGAGAAGAGGAUAGAUUUCCACGUCGACGACGAGUGCAAGAGCGUCAGUGAGAGUUUGACCACUUGGGAAUCGAAUCCUCGCGCGACCUCGACUUUCCCUUACCCCCCAUUUGACACGUUAAAGAGCCGAGGGAAUGUUGGAUUUAUCGUCGUUUUUUUCUAACCCCUUGGAUAACAAAAAUCCAAGUGGGUAUAAAAUAAAAUGAAACAAUUUGACACAUCAAUCUCACGCUUAAAUUAAUGUAAUUGUAUUAAAUUUCGAAAGAGGAUGGAUAUUUUGGAAAAUUUAUGAAAUAAGGAUUUCAAGAAUGCAUACUAAUCAACAUACUAAGAAACAAUGGACAGAGAAUUUGGGAUUUUGUGGACAUGAAUGGACAAGCUGAUGAACUCUCGAGCUUGCACGAGGAUGAUCUGCGAUAAUUAUGCGAGUGUCUUGGCACACUCUUGAUCUUGAGGAUACAGAAAAUCAAUCUCAACAAUUCUAGAACAUUAUAUACAUAUGUAUAUAUAUAUAUAUUGAAAAAUUUAUUUUUAAAAUUUCUUGAGAAAUAUUUGAUAAUUGGUUAUCGAUCUUACGUGGAAGAUAAGAAAUGGUGUUUGCCGAACAAUGGACAGAAACGUGGGACACGUAUCAAGUUUGGAAACGGGUUAAUUGGUCGGAGGAACGAAUCGACCGACAUCGACCAGAUUUUAUCGGUUUAUUCCUCGAGAAUCGUGGAUCCAGAAUCCUGUGAACCGGAUAAAAAGUAUCUUCCACGAUAUCGACGCUCUCUCUCACGAUGGCAGGAGUUGGAUUUAAUUGGCUUGGCCGGCCAGAUGACCUGUAAUAAAUCGUAGAAAAUAACAGUCGAA
Apis dorsata (giant honeybee) is the source of this 3865-nucleotide long non-coding RNA. RefSeq lists it as uncharacterized. The transcript has 2 exons. NCBI's taxonomy places the organism in Eukaryota, Metazoa, Arthropoda, Insecta, Hymenoptera, Apidae. The record is from RefSeq and is a predicted model, not a curated record.